Struthio camelus australis is the source of this 1064-nucleotide non-coding RNA. The record is from RefSeq and is a predicted model, not a curated record. NCBI's taxonomy places the organism in Eukaryota, Metazoa, Chordata, Aves, Struthioniformes, Struthionidae.
UCCAGAAAUUCAGCUAUUUUUUCAUUUCCACUGACAGUUCCUCUCUGUGCCAGCACUAGGAUAUCUGCAUGUAAACACAUUUCUGGUGUUCCUGAAGCUACAUCUGAGAGAAACACACUGAAGAUGGAAGGUGAAAACAGAGCAGCAUUGGACUUUAAGCUGUCUGGAAGCAGAAUUUGGACUUUCUUCUUCCAAUUCACUGAAUGGAUGGAGUCAACAGCAGAAAAUUAUAACUACCCAUGUGCUUACCAUGUGCCUAGAAUAAAUUUAAAGCAAUUCAAGAUAAUUUCUGGAGGUGAAGUUGGUCUUUUGGGGUAUAGGUCACGUCCUUAUGUUUCGUUGAAGGCCAGCUGCCUGCUGUGUGUGAGGACAUGGCUGUACUGCUGAAGGCUGUUGCUGUUCAACUUGUAUCCAUUAUGUCCCGGUGGUUCUGGGUGCUCCUCGUGAGUGAGAACAUUACUGAGACCCUAUUCUUCACCAGCUUUGGGAAAUUCAGUGGUUUCGGGACAUGAAAUGCAGGAAGAGAUCUUCAUAGCCCUGUAACAGAAGCUGGUGCUGGCUUUCAGCUGACAAAGGUCCUGACAGCCCUCUGUCUACCUCUCUUCCCAAAGGGAUUCUUGAAGAAAGGUAUCAGGAAAGAUGUUCUUGAAGCAAGCCAUAAAGAAAGGUGUUCUGUGAUGAGAUAUACAUGAACUCACUUUGAAAAGGGAGGGGAUUCAUCAGUUCCCAUGAACCUGACCUGUGAUGCUGCGCUUGCAGAAAGGGAUCAGGAAGUAUUGAAAGACUGGGAAGAUGCUCAAACCUCUAAUAUUUUCGCCAUGAAAAAACCUUGUAUAGGAACAGCUUAAGGAAGUUGCCUGUUGGAGCCUCUUAAGGGAAGUUGAUGAGGGAAACAAGAUGGAAGACUUAUCCCUUACUGCUUGUGGAUUACAUGCAACAGGGUAUCUUUCCUGAAGUAGUGACUAGGCAAAUUUUUUUGGUUUUUUGGUAUCUCACUGUGUUGGUAUCAGGCUUGGAGGUACUUGGGCUGUGUACACAGACACAGAUGGCUUAUUAAGCAUAAA